Molecule: long non-coding RNA, 522 nt
Organism: Polypterus senegalus (gray bichir)
Lineage: Eukaryota; Metazoa; Chordata; Cladistia; Polypteriformes; Polypteridae
Exons: 3
Source: RefSeq, a predicted model, not a curated record
CUCGAGUGUGAGCGAGUGGAACUGGUGGUGGACGCUGAGUAUAUAUUGUAAAUGCCCCAGAAGACUGUUGGGCAUUCCGCACAGGAUGGAGGUGGAAUCCUUACCCAGCCAGGAUGCCAGAAUGGAAGGAUGGGCUAAAUGGGGGCAAUACCCGAUCUGGACACCUUAUGAUCCUUGUCCUGGGUGGGAUGCCUGAAAAUUAGAAGAACUGGCAGGACAGCUUGGCAGGCCACCAGAACAGAAACCCAACUAAGACUCCGCUAACUUCCGCCACUACAUCACGCCCUCCUGCAGACCUCAUUUCGGGCUAAAAUCCCACACCUUCGUAUCCUUCACCUAUAAGAACCAAAGCUUUCACUCUGUUAGUCAGUCAAUGUUGGACCAGUCCUUUGUGAUUACUCUGUUGAAAAUGUAUCACUUUAUUGCUACUCUAUACAGGGUGGACUUCCCCAAAUCUUUGUCUGUGUUUGUAUGCUUUCUUCACAAUACAUACAUAUCUCUCUUUUAUAAUAAAAAAUCUUG